Molecule: ribosomal RNA, 253 nt
Filed under: uncultured bacterium
Lineage: Bacteria
Description: partial 16S ribosomal RNA
Rfam family: Bacterial small subunit ribosomal RNA
Source: RNAcentral
UACGUAGGGUCCGAGCGUUGUCCGGAAUUAUUGGGCGUAAAGGGCUCGUAGGCGGUUUGUCGCGUCGGGAGUGAAAACACGGGGCUUAACCCCGUGCCUGCUUCCGAUACGGGCAGACUAGAGGUAUGCAGGGGAGAACGGAAUUCCUGGUGUAGCGGUGAAAUGCGCAGAUAUCAGGAGGAACACCGGUGGCGAAGGCGGUUCUCUGGGCCGGUACUGACGCUGAGGAGCGAAAGCGUGGGGAGCAAACAGG